UCCUCUAUAGUAUAGUGGUGAGUACAAGCCUGUCAUGCACACAGAUCGCUUGGGACCCGGGUUCAAUUCCCGGUCGGGGAG
RNAcentral lists this transfer RNA (81 nucleotides) under Planoprotostelium fungivorum. It matches the Rfam family "tRNA". Rfam says of the family: Transfer RNA (tRNA) molecules are approximately 80 nucleotides in length. Their secondary structure includes four short double-helical elements and three loops (D, anti-codon, and T loops). The record is from Rfam by way of RNAcentral. Lineage: Eukaryota; Evosea; Variosea; Cavosteliida; Cavosteliaceae.